UAUAUAUAUAAUCUGCAGGAUAAUGAAAACCCUGGAUGCCUCAGGAUCUUCAGGCUUGGACCUUUUUCCUGAAAGGCGCAAAGAACGGCGAGAAUUGGGGAUUGCGAUGUUUCAGAAUUUUAUAAGGAGAAGCAAUGAGCAUGGCAAGAUCGCUAGAGCCUAGAGAUAAGCUGCACUGACUGUUGACUCCAACUAUGGUAUGGAUGAAGAACUGAUGAGUCAGACAUAUGCAUGUGAUCGUUUGACUCUGAAAUGUUCAGAGUUUCCGGCCUGUCCUAUUUAAAUCGUCCCAUGACCAUUUGACGGAUGAAAGCGACUGCUAAUCUUUAAUUUUUUGUUGAUGCUCAGAUAGCAUUUAUCAUUUUAAUUUAGUUCUGCUGGUGAGGUGUAGCUCAACUAUAGUGUCAGCAUUGCAUCAGGCACAAAUGAUGUUCAGAUAAUAUCUACUUUAUCCACUGAUCUAGCUCAACUGUGGUGUCAGCAUCGCAUCAGUCACAAAUGACCUAGGUAAAACUGUUAAUUACAAGAGAAAUAUUGGUGCCACGAUGGUCUCUGUCACACUAUAAUCGUUUUAGAAGCAAAUCGUUCCUGCAAAAUGAAGAAUUAUCUGCAACACACCUUGCAAAAACAUCAAAGCAAAUCUACAGGUUUUUUAGAGAAAAGGUCAACACCCGGCUUUUUAUCGAAAGCCACAUAGGCAGUGUUUCAGGCUUUCAGCUGGGGGCAGAGACACUGCCUAGAUUUAUUAACAUAUAUGCUAUGAAACGGAGAAAGUGACUACUUUCUCCGUUUCAUAGCAUAUAUGUUAAUAAAUUAGACAUAUAUGUGUGUCUAGAUUCAUUAACAUCUAUAUGAAUGUAAGCAAUGUUAAAAAGUCUUAUAACCUAAAACAGAGGUAGUACUUAGCUCUAGCCAACUAGCAAAACCAGAACUCUACACAAAUCUACAAGUUAUAUUGAGAAUAAUUUCAAGAAUUCAGAACACUGCAUUCCUUGUGCAUCAUCAAGAUCCAUUAAUCAGCCCACCACUACACUGAAUCGAAUUCUGAAGAACAUGAAACUAAAA
Oryza sativa Japonica Group (Japanese rice) is the source of this 1065-nucleotide long non-coding RNA. RefSeq lists it as uncharacterized. NCBI's taxonomy places the organism in Eukaryota, Viridiplantae, Streptophyta, Magnoliopsida, Poales, Poaceae. The record is from RefSeq and is a predicted model, not a curated record.